CAAGUUUCUUCCGUAUCUGCAACUAAGGAAGUUUCAAGCAGUAAUCAUGGUUCACUUGUCCAAGCUACUUUAUCCACAUUAUUCAAAAAGGUGGAAGAAAAGAAGGCUCCAAGAACCCCAAAGAAACUUUCAUCAUCAAAAGAUUCCACUAAAAAGUUGCAGGAUGCUGGUUCAAAAAGGAUCAUAGAUCUGGAUGAAGGGUCCAAGAAGAGAGUGAAAAAGACCAAGGACAAGGAUACCGGUUACCAUUCUCUCCCUCUCUUCCCUCUAAAUGUUUACA
This is a long non-coding RNA of Neltuma alba, 280 nucleotides long. RefSeq lists it as uncharacterized. NCBI's taxonomy places the organism in Eukaryota, Viridiplantae, Streptophyta, Magnoliopsida, Fabales, Fabaceae. The record is from RefSeq and is a predicted model, not a curated record. The transcript is spliced from 4 exons.